RNAcentral lists this ribosomal RNA (450 nucleotides) under uncultured bacterium. RNAcentral's name for it is "partial 16S ribosomal RNA". It matches the Rfam family "Bacterial small subunit ribosomal RNA", at positions 354 to 796 of the family's 1533-position model. The record is from RNAcentral.
GUGGGGAAUAUUGGACAAUGGGCGAAAGCCUGAUACAGCCAUGCCGCGUGUGUGAAGAAGGUCUUCGGAUUGUAAAGCACUUUAAGUUGGGAGGAAGGGCAGUAAGUUAAUACCUUGCUGUUUUGACGUUACCGACAGAAUAAGCACCGGCUAACUUCGUGCCAGCAGCCGCGGUAAUACGAAGGGUGCAAGCGUUAAUCGGAAUUACUGGGCGUAAAGCGCGCGUAGGUGGUUUUGUAAGUUGGAGGUGAAAUCCCCGGGCUCAACCUGGGAACUGCCUCCAAAACUGCAUGACUAGAGUACGGUAGAGGGUAGUGGAAUUUCCUGUGUAGCGGUGAAAUGCGUAGAUAUAGGAAGGAACACCAGUGGCGAAGGCGACUACCUGGACUGAUACUGACACUGAGGUGCGAAAGCGUGGGGAGCAAACAGGAUUAGAAACCCUGGUAGUCC